AUAAAAAUAAGUUAAUAAAACUAUUAGUUUCAUAAUCUAAAAAUAAGACUAAAAUUCUUUUUUUAUA
This 67-nucleotide transfer RNA is filed under the name unidentified. RNAcentral's name for it is "Trichagalma acutissimae tRNA-Met". The record is from RNAcentral.